GACGAACGCUGGCGGCGUGCUUAACACAUGCAAGUCGAACGAUGAAGCCUAGCUUGCUAGGUGGAUUAGUGGCGAACGGGUGAGUAAUACGUGAGUAACCUACCUUUAACUCUGGGAUAAGCCUGGGAAACUGGGUCUAAUACCGGAUACGACCAAUCUCCGCAUGGGGUGUUGGUGGAAAGCGUUAUGUAGUGGUUAUAGAUGGGCUCACGGCCUAUCAGCUUGUUGGUGAGGUAACGGCUCACCAAGGCGACGACGGGUAGCCGGCCUGAGAGGGUGACCGGCCACACUGCGACUGAGACACGGCCCAGACUCCUACGGGAGGCAGCAGUGGCGAAUAUUGCACAAUGGGCGCAAGCCUGAUGCAGCGACGCCGCGUGAGGGAUGACGUCCUUCGGGUUGUAAACCUCUGUUCGCAGGGAACAAGCGAAAUUGACGGUACCUUCAGAGAAAGCGCCGGCUAACUACGUG
Molecule: ribosomal RNA, 471 nt
Filed under: uncultured bacterium
Lineage: Bacteria
Description: partial 16S ribosomal RNA
Rfam family: Bacterial small subunit ribosomal RNA
Source: RNAcentral